GAUAAACAAUAGUAGUUGAAGACUUGAACACGGAAUGCAGUGUAUCCACCCCAAGUCUCAACCUUCUUCUUUCUUGCUCUGAUCCUCCCAGGGAUAAAUGAGAGCAGACCGCAACGCUUCCUUUUACCAAACCUCUCUCUCAGCAUCACAGGCACUGCCGCCUCAUCAAACUCAUUCUGUCAAUAAUAAUCCUUAUCAACCUUCUCUUCUCACUCUUCCGUUCAUCUCAUAGUACAGGAGCGUCAGAGGAGGACACCUGCACCGAUCUCAUGUGCAGCUCUUCAUUCUAUGGCAUGGAUUUCAGGUAAAGACUUGAUAGAGGAGGACUGAUGCCUGUGCAGUGGUUUCCAAGGGUUGUGAGGAACAACUUGAGAAAAGAAAACAAAUCCAAUGUCUCCAUUAGAAAGGCUGAAGAAGAAGAAGAAGAUGUAAACUGGAGUUGUUCAUGACAAAGCCUCCAUCACUUUCUGCAAUCUUGUCCCACAACUCGAGUGGUCAUCUUGGAAUCAGCUUCUCUGGCUUUGAGAGCCUUCUUCGAUCCCCCACUUCAUCAAAACUUGAUCUAAAGAUGUGCCUAGCAAUCAUACACCAGCCUGUGACGUGUUGAUCUGGAUGCAUCAUGAAGCAUUCGAGCUCAGAAUCAAGCAGACAGACGGAUGAGGAUGGCAGGCGGAGGAGGAUGGAGAGAUCGGCGACUGGUUCAAGCACGGGCGGGUGGGUGCAUCCACCACAGGAGCAGGAGACGAGAGGCUCCCCUUCCAACUAUUUCAGCAUGAAGUCGUUUCUUGUACUCAUCUGCCUCACUCUAUCUCUGUUGAUACUUCCUCUCGUACUGCCUCCAUUGCCACCACCACCUUCGGUGCUGCUGCUGCUUCCUAUAGGCAUGCUUGUUCUACUUUUGAUCCUGGCUUUCAUGCCCUCUGACACCGGAAACAUUGCUUCUUCCUACCUGUAAAUAAGAUGAGGGAGUCCGCUGCAUCUUUUUCUUCUUUAGAUCGACAGAAUUGAUCUAAUGGCUUCGACUA
Musa acuminata subsp. malaccensis (wild Malaysian banana) is the source of this 1025-nucleotide long non-coding RNA. RefSeq lists it as uncharacterized. Lineage: Eukaryota; Viridiplantae; Streptophyta; Magnoliopsida; Zingiberales; Musaceae. The record is from RefSeq and is a predicted model, not a curated record.